This is a non-coding RNA of Cinara cedri, 603 nucleotides long. Lineage: Eukaryota; Metazoa; Arthropoda; Insecta; Hemiptera; Aphididae. The record is from the annotation of a GenBank genome assembly.
AGUGAUAUAUUUAGCUUUUAUUAUUAUAUGCAAUUUUAGAUUCUGAACAAAUUGAGGAAUUUAUUGAUUUUACAGUAUUUAUUUGUUUAUUUAUUUGUGAAUAACUUUUCUACCAGACAUUUUGCUCUGAUUUUCAUGUUAAUCACCUUUUCUGAUAGGAAAUUUUCCUGGGGUGCUACUCUGGAGAAUUCAUUUUCGAUUUUUCUGUGAGUAAUAAUAAUAAUUGUUUGUCAUUAGCAACAAUUAAUUACUGAAUAUAGAUAUAUAUUAAAUUUCCCUUCUACCUAACUAACUUCUCACCUACAACAGUUGCUAUACAAUAGUGCAAAUUAUUGUCAGUUUGUUUAUCAAAAUUAGUUUAUAUCUCAUACCAAAUGUAAAAAUGUUAUUAUAUAAAAAAAUAGUUGUCACUGUGGUUCUAAGGUGUCUUCAGAGUACAUUUUGUAAGUUUUUAAAAAAAAAAAUAUUUUGUUCUAAUAUUGUAUUAUGGUCAAGUUAUUGAGUCAACAUUUUCAAAAACUAAUUUAUUCUUAUCACACAAUUUGAAUUUCGUAAUUAAGUUUUUUGGGCCAGUCUAAUACCAUAUAUUAUAUGUAUUAGCUU